CCUACGGGAGGCAGCAGUGGGGGAUAUUGCACAAUGGGGGAAACCCUGAUGCAGCGACGCCGCGUGUGGGAAGACGGUCCUCUGGAUUGUAAACCACUGUCCCCAGGGACGAAGAUGACGGUACCUGGGGAGGAAGCUCCGGCUAACUACGUGCCAGCAGCCGCGGUAAUACGUAGGGAGCGAGCGUUGUCCGGAAUUACUGGGUGUAAAGGGAGCGUAGGCGGGACUGCAAGUUGGGUGUCAAAUCUACCGGCUCAACCGGUAGCCGCACUCAAAACUGCAGUUCUUGAGGGAAGUAGAGGCAGGCGGAAUUCCUAGUGUAGCGGUGAAAUCCGUAGAGAUUAGGAGGAACACCAGUGGCGAAGGCGGCCUGCUGGGCUUUUACUGACGCUGAGGCUCGAAAGUGUGGGGAGCAAACAGGAUUAGAUACCCGUGUAGUC
Molecule: ribosomal RNA, 440 nt
Filed under: uncultured bacterium
Lineage: Bacteria
Description: partial 16S ribosomal RNA
Rfam family: Bacterial small subunit ribosomal RNA
Source: RNAcentral